Molecule: ribosomal RNA, 448 nt
Filed under: uncultured bacterium
Lineage: Bacteria
Description: bacterial SSU rRNA
Rfam family: Bacterial small subunit ribosomal RNA
Source: RNAcentral
ACCAGACUCCUACGGGAGGCAGCAGUGGGGAAUAUUGGACAAUGGGGGAAACCCUGAUCCAGCGACGCCGCGUGAGUGAAGAAGUAUUUCGGUACGUAAAGCUCUAUCAGCAGGAAAGAAAAUGACGGUACCUGACUAAGAAGCCCCGGCUAACUACGUGCCAGCAGCCGCGGUAAUACGUAAGGGGCAAGCGUUAUCCGGAUUUACUGGGUGUAAAGGGAGCGUAGACGGCAGCGCAAGUCUGGAGUGAAAGGCGGGGGCUCAACCCCCGGACUGCUCUGGAAACUGUAGAACUAGAGUGCAGGAGGGGUAAGUGGAAUUCCUAGUGUAGCGGUGAAAUGCGUAGAUAUUAGGAGGAACACCAGUGGCGAAGGCGGCUUACUGGACUGUAACUGACGUUGAGGCUCGAAAGCGUGGGGAGCAAACAGGAUUAGAUACCCCAGUAUCA